AAUUUGAAAUCUGGCGUCCAUCGUCCGAGUUGUAAUUUGGAGGGGUAUCUUCGGAAACGACGCCGCUCUAUGUUCCUUUGAACAGGACAUCACAGAGGGUGAGAAUCCCGUUCUUGGGCGGUUCGUCGCGACCAUGUGAAGUGCCUCCGACGAGUCGAGUUGUUUGGGAAUGCAGCUCAAAAUGGGUGGUAAAUUUCAUCUAAAGCUAAAUAUUGGCGAGAGACCGAUAGCGCACAAGUAGAGUGAUCGAAAGAUGAAAAGAACUUUGAAAAGAGGGUCAAACAGUACGUGAAAUUGUUGAAAGGGAAGCGCUUGAGAUCGAACUCAGUCGGUGGUGCACAGUCGAGCUUCUGCUCGGAUCACUGGUCAUCGACUGGGCCAGCAUCGGUUCUGACGGCGGGAUAAAGGGUCGGGAAACGUGGCUCGCCUCGCGCGAGUGUUAUAGUCCCGUGCCGUAAUACCGCCAGUCCGGGACCGAGGACCGCGCUUCGGCUAGGAUGCUGGCGUAACGGUCUUAAGCGACCCGUCUUG
This 531-nucleotide ribosomal RNA is filed under the name Octospora axillaris. RNAcentral describes it as "partial large subunit ribosomal RNA". It matches the Rfam family "Eukaryotic large subunit ribosomal RNA", at positions 112 to 656 of the family's 3401-position model. Lineage: Eukaryota; Fungi; Ascomycota; Pezizomycetes; Pezizales; Pyronemataceae. The record is from RNAcentral.